CUGUUCCUUUUAUGUAAAAGUUGUUAUUCAAUCAUUGUAUUAUAUAUGUUAAGUUGUUAUGCUGUUAUGAAUGAAAGUUAAUAGAGUAAUUAAAAAGUAUGAUAGCAAACAAUUCAAUUAAUUAAUCGCAAAUUAAUAAUAUGCCCAUAAAUAAACAAUAAAAUUAAAGUAAUGAGGCGUCCAUAAAUUAAAAUAGCAAUUUAUCAAUAUAGAAACAAUUAUGUUGUUGGUCCAUUGUAUUCAUCCCAUGACCUCUCUUAUUUA
RNAcentral lists this long non-coding RNA (264 nucleotides) under Lathyrus oleraceus (garden pea). Its description in RNAcentral is "Pisum sativum (pea) long non-coding RNA (PSAT_LNC001277)". Lineage: Eukaryota; Viridiplantae; Streptophyta; Magnoliopsida; Fabales; Fabaceae. The record is from RNAcentral.